GACGAACGCUGGCGGCGUGCUUAACACAUGCAAGUCGAACGGUGAAGCGCCUUCCUUUUUGGUGGGGGUGGAUGAGUGGCGAACGGGUGAGUAACACGUGAGUAACCUGCCCCCUUCUUCUGGAUAACCGCAUGAAAGUGUGGCUAAUACGGGAUAUUCUGGGUCUGUCGCAUGCUGGGUUUGGGAAAGAUAUUGUUUCGGUGGGGGCUGGGCUCGCGGCCUAUCCGUUUGUUGGUGGGGUGAGGGCCUACCAAGGCGGUGACGGGUAGCCGGCCUGGGGGGGUGGCCUGGCACACUGGAGCGGAUGCACGGCCAAGACUCCAACGGGAGGCGGCAGAGGGGAAUAUGGGACAAUGGGGGGAAGCCUGAUGCAGCGACGCCGCGUGAGGGAUGGAGGCCUUCGGGUUGUGAACCUCUUUCGCCAGUGAAGCAGGCCUGCCUCGUUUGUGAGUGGGUUGACGGUAGCUGGAUAAGAAGCGCCGGCUAACUACGUG
Molecule: ribosomal RNA, 494 nt
Filed under: uncultured bacterium
Lineage: Bacteria
Description: partial 16S ribosomal RNA
Rfam family: Bacterial small subunit ribosomal RNA
Source: RNAcentral